GCGUCAGUGGUUUAGUGGUAAAAUCCAUCGUUGCCCUCUGUAUACAGAUUCGGUGGGCCCCGCAUUCGAUUCGCGGCUGACGCA
This is a non-coding RNA of Lasiosphaeria ovina, 84 nucleotides long. The record is from the annotation of a GenBank genome assembly. NCBI's taxonomy places the organism in Eukaryota, Fungi, Ascomycota, Sordariomycetes, Sordariales, Lasiosphaeriaceae.